This 253-nucleotide ribosomal RNA is filed under the name uncultured bacterium. RNAcentral describes it as "partial 16S ribosomal RNA". It matches the Rfam family "Bacterial small subunit ribosomal RNA", at positions 524 to 776 of the family's 1533-position model. The record is from RNAcentral.
UACGGAGGGGGCUAGCGUUGUUCGGAAUUACUGGGCGUAAAGCGCACGUAGGCGGCUUUGCAAGUUAGAGGUGAAAGCCCGGGGCUCAACUCCGGAAUUGCCUUUAAAACUGCAUCGCUAGAGUUGUGGAGAGGUAAGUGGAAUUCCGAGUGUAGAGGUGAAAUGCGUAGAUAUCGGGAGGAACACCUGCGGUGUAGACGGCUUACUGGACCAUAACUGACGCUGAGGCACGAAAGCGUGGGUAGCAAACAGG